UUUUCUUCUUUAUCUUCAAAACAGAAAACAUUUCAUUCCUAUUUUGGUACUCCUACAAAUUAGUGAAAGACCUUGUAAAGACUGCUGACUGCUGCAAUUCAGUGCUCACCAAAUCCUAUAAGCAGUUUAUAGUUUUUCUCUUUCCUUCUUUUUUCAUACAAACUUGAGCAAAUAUAUCCUCUUAAACUUACUUCACCCACGCGCAGUUAUGUCCUGUAACCUCCACAUUCCCAUAAACACCCAAUAAAUAAUCGCGUGCUGAAACACGAGAAAGAGAGAGCGUGAUAAUAUGAAGUCCUAAAAUGUUAAGUACGAAAAACACAAGAACAAAGAAGAGCCGACAUUUUCAAUUCUUGAUUCAAAAGAUGUGAUUUUUGGGGAAGAAGAUAAUUAAACAGAGGAGAAUUGAAAUGCAAAGAGAUGGAAGAGGACGCUUAUACAUGGGUGUUCAAGAAAUAAGUAAGAGUUGAAAAAACCUGUUUUUCUUAAUUAUUUGUGAAUCUGAAUUGUGUAUUAGUUAACUGAUGCUCCAAUAAGGUCAAGAGUGUUCCCUAUGUAUGUAUGAAUUCUUGAAGUUUAAUUUUAUUCAUGUAGAAAUGAAUUUGAACUUGAAGUUUGAAGCUUCAAGCGUUCAAAUUUUGGAAAAAGUUGGCAUUUUGGAUAUGUUUUAGGUAAUCUUGGCAGUUUGAAGUUAUUGAAUUGGGAAUAAAGUUGUGGGUUUUAGUUAGAGUUUCAGGGAGGCAUCUUAGCUGGAAAUGGAGGGCUAGAUGAGAUUUUAAGGUUGGACUUUUAGUAGGACUUGGGAUUUGAAGUUUUUCAAGAUUGGGUUUUUGGAGGGAGAGUUAGUUGAGAAUUUGGAUUUCUGGUGCUGACCUCAGCCCCUUUAAUUCUUAUACUGUUACAAAUUGGGAUUUUGGAGAUGGGAUUUGAUUUGGAAAAUGCAAAGAUUGAUAUUAGAGGGAUUCAAUGUAGUUCCCAGGUUGGUUUUUUGGAGUUUGGGGGGAAAACCCUAAUUUAGUGGUGGAAUUGGUUUCUGACCCUAAAGUUUGUUUUUGAGCAGG
This 1061-nucleotide long non-coding RNA is filed under the name Nicotiana benthamiana. RNAcentral's name for it is "long non-coding RNA (NBEN_LNC040690)". The record is from RNAcentral. Lineage: Eukaryota; Viridiplantae; Streptophyta; Magnoliopsida; Solanales; Solanaceae.